Molecule: unclassified non-coding RNA, 36 nt
Filed under: Chaetomium sp. R01
Lineage: Eukaryota; Fungi; Ascomycota; Sordariomycetes; Sordariales; Chaetomiaceae
Description: partial 28S ribosomal RNA
Source: RNAcentral
ACCCGCUGAACUUAAGCAUAUUAGUCAGCGGAGGAA